UAGCUACAGGCUUAACACAUGCAAGUCGAGGGGAAACGACAUCGAAAGCUUGCUUUUGAUGGGCGUCGACCGGCGCACGGGUGAGUAACGCGUAUCCAACCUGCCCACCACUUGGGGAUAACCUUGCGAAAGUAAGACUAAUACCCAAUGACGUCUCUAGAAGACAUCUGAAAGAGAUUAAAGAUUUAUCGGUGAUGGAUGGGGAUGCGUCUGAUUAGCUUGUUGGCGGGGUAACGGCCCACCAAGGCGACGAUCAGUAGGGGUUCUGAGAGGAAGGUCCCCCACAUUGGAACUGAGACACGGUCCAAACUCCUACGGGAGGCAGCAGUGAGGAAUAUUGGUCAAUGGACGAGAGUCUGAACCAGCCAAGUAGCGCGCAGGAUGACGGCCCUAUGGGUUGUAAACUGCUUUUAUAAGGGAAUAAAGUGAGUCUCGUGAGACUUUUUGCAUGUACCUUAUGAAUAAGGACCGGCUAUUUCCGCGCCAGCCAGCCGCGGUAAUACAGAAGGUCCGGGCGGUUAUCCGGAUUUAUUGGGUUUAAAGGGAGCGUAGGGCCGGAAAUUAAACGUGUUUGUGAAAUGUAGACCCUCAACGUCUGCACUGGCACCGCGAAAUGGUUUCCCUUGAGUACGCACAAGGUGGGCGGAAAUUUGUGGUGUAGCGGUGAAAUGCUUAGAUAUCACGAAGAACUCCGAUUGCGAAGGCAGCUCACUGGAGCGCAACUGGCGCUGAAGCUCGAAAGUGCGGGUAUCGAACAGGAUUAGAUACCCUGGUAGUCCGCACGGUAAACGAUGGAUGCCCGCUGUUGGGUCUGAAUAGGUCAGCGGCCAAGCGAAAGCAUUAAGCAUCCCACCUGGGGAGUACGCCGGCAACGGUGAAACUCAAAGGAAUUGACGGGGGCCCGCACAAGCGGAGGAACAUGUGGUUUAAUUCGAUGAUACGCGAGGAACCUUACCCGGGCUUGAAUUGCAGAGGAAGGAUUUGGAGACAAUGACGCCCUUCGGGGCCUCUGUGAAGGUGCUGCAUGGUUGUCGUCAGCUCGUGCCGUGAGGUGUCGGCUUAAGUGCCAUAACGAGCGCAACCCCUCUCCUUAGUUGCCAUCAGGUCAAGCUGGGCACUCUGGGGACACUGCCACCGUAAGGUGUGAGGAAGGUGGGGA
This 1159-nucleotide ribosomal RNA is filed under the name uncultured bacterium. RNAcentral describes it as "bacterial SSU rRNA". It matches the Rfam family "Bacterial small subunit ribosomal RNA", at positions 37 to 1179 of the family's 1533-position model. The record is from RNAcentral.